AACGAACGCUGGCGGCAUGCCUAACACAUGCAAGUCGAACGAGACCUUCGGGUUUAGUUGCGCACGGGUGCGUAACGCGUGGGAAUCUGCCCUUUGGUUGGGAAUAACAGAGAGAAAUUUCAGCUAAUACCUUAUAAUGUCUUCGGACUAAAGAUUUAUCGCCGAGGGAUGAGCACGCGGAGGAUUAGGUAGUUGGUGGGGUAAUGGACUACCAAGCCGACGAUCCUAAGCUGGUAUGAGAGGGAGAUCAGCCACACUGGAACUGAGACACGGCCCAGGCUCCAACGGGAGGCAGCAGGGGGGAAAAUUGGACAAUGGGCGAAAGGCAAAACGAGCAAAGCCGCGAGAGUAAUGAAGGCCUUAGGGAUGUAGAGCUCAGAUACCCGGGAGGAUGAGGACAGAACCGGGGGAAUAGACUGCAGCGAACUCCGGGCCAGCCGCCGCCGUAA
RNAcentral lists this ribosomal RNA (449 nucleotides) under uncultured bacterium. RNAcentral's name for it is "partial 16S ribosomal RNA". It matches the Rfam family "Bacterial small subunit ribosomal RNA", at positions 30 to 523 of the family's 1533-position model. The record is from RNAcentral.